GUGCUCGCUUUGACAGCACAUUUGCUAAAAUUGGAAUGAUACAGAGAUUAGCGUGGCCCCUGCACAAGGAUGACACAUAAUUCGUAAAGCAUUCCAUACNNNN
RNAcentral lists this small nuclear RNA (103 nucleotides) under Ursus americanus (American black bear). The record is from RNAcentral. Lineage: Eukaryota; Metazoa; Chordata; Mammalia; Carnivora; Ursidae.